This 549-nucleotide ribosomal RNA is filed under the name Fusarium sp. NRRL 22101. RNAcentral describes it as "eukaryotic LSU rRNA". The stretch from base 183 to 336 matches the Rfam family "5.8S ribosomal RNA". The record is from RNAcentral. Lineage: Eukaryota; Fungi; Ascomycota; Sordariomycetes; Hypocreales; Nectriaceae.
UCUCCGUUGGUGAACCAGCGGAGGGAUCAUUACCGAGUCUAAACAACUCAUCAACCCUGUGAACAUACCUAAAACGUUGCUUCGGCGGGAACAGACGGCCCCGUAAAACGGGCCGCCCCCGCCAGAGGACCCCUAACUCUGUUGCUAUAUGUAUCUUCUGAGUAAACAAGCAAAUAAAUUAAAACUUUCAACAACGGAUCUCUUGGCUCUGGCAUCGAUGAAGAACGCAGCGAAAUGCGAUAAGUAAUGUGAAUUGCAGAAUUCAGUGAAUCAUCGAAUCUUUGAACGCACAUUGCGCCCGCCAGUAUUCUGGCGGGCAUGCCUGUUCGAGCGUCAUUACAACCCUCAGGCCCCCGGGCCUGGCGUUGGGGAUCGGCGAGGCGCCCCCUGUGGGAACGCGCCGUCCCCCAAAUACAGUGGCGGUCCCGCCGCAGCUUCCAUUGCGUAGUAGCUAACACCUCGCAACUGGAGAGCGGCGCGGCCAUGCCGUAAAACACCCAACUUCUGAAUGUUGACCUCGAAUCAGGUAGGAAUACCCGCUGAACUUAA